This 433-nucleotide ribosomal RNA is filed under the name uncultured bacterium. Its description in RNAcentral is "partial 16S ribosomal RNA". It matches the Rfam family "Bacterial small subunit ribosomal RNA", at positions 29 to 507 of the family's 1533-position model. The record is from RNAcentral.
AGCGAACGCUGGCGGCAUGCCUAACACAUGCAAGUCGAACGAGACCUUCGGGUCUAGUGGCGCACGGGUGCGUAACGCGUGGGAACCUGCCCUUAGGUUCGGAAUAACUCCCCGAAAGGGGUGCUAAUACCGGAUAAUGUCUUCGGACCAAAGAUUUAUCGCCUUUGGAUGGGCCCGCGUUGGAUUAGCUAGUUGGUAGGGUAAAAGCCUACCAAGGCGACGAUCCAUAGCUGGUCUGAGAGGAUGAUCAGCCACACUGGGACUGAGACACGGCCCAGACUCCUACGGGAGGCAGCAGUGGGGAAUAUUGGGCAAUGGGCGAAAGCCUGAUCCAGCAAUGCCGCGUGAGUGAUGGAGGCCUUAGGGUUGUAAAGCUCUUUUACCCGGGAUGAUAAUGACAGUACCGGGAGAAUAAGCGCCGGCUAACUCCGUG